UACAGAGGGGGCGAGCGUUGUUCGGAAUCACUGGGCUUAAAGCGCGUGCAGGCGGCCCGGUAAGUGCUCUGUGAAAUCCGGCGGCUCAACCGCCGAACUGCAGGGCAUACUGCCGGGCUUGAGGUUGGUAGAGGAGCCUGGAACUCUAGGUGGAGCGGUGAAAUGCGUUGAUAUCUAGAGGAACGCCGGAGGCGAAAGCGGGGCGCUGGGCCAAAACUGACGCUGAGACGCGAAAGCGUGGGGAGCAAACAGG
This 253-nucleotide ribosomal RNA is filed under the name uncultured bacterium. Its description in RNAcentral is "partial 16S ribosomal RNA". It matches the Rfam family "Bacterial small subunit ribosomal RNA", at positions 524 to 776 of the family's 1533-position model. The record is from RNAcentral.